UUUAAGAUCAUAUGUAUAUAUAUUUAAGUGGUCUAACUAAAAAUUUAUUAAUAGCUCCACCUAUGAGAUUGAUUUACGUUGGAUCGCCCAAAAAAAGUUUCAUGUGGGACCGCCCUUUGCGCAUGUGCGAGUCAGCGCGGUCUUUUCGCCCAUCUCGUCUCAUUCUCUCAGUGCAACGCCAAGGCAGAGGGUGGACGAGAGUACGUAAAGGCGAAUAUCUACUACUUGUUGAAGUUGAAAAGCAGUUUACGGCAACCUCCUAUUAAUGGAUUAUGAAUGUGGCAGUGCAAAGAAUGCAGUUUGCAAUUAGCUAGCAGCGUGACAACAUCAACACCAGGAGGGAGUGUAUCCUGAGAUGCAUCAUCUACCUCAAUGAAGAUCCAGACACCAUCUUCAAAGAAUAUCUGGCACUGGCGACCGAGGAUGCAGAAAGGGACCUAGCAACCACAGUCAUGUGACCGGAAGUGAUGGGGAUCAGGAGCCUGAGGACGUUGGAGUUGUGGAGUCAAGUUCAUUCUAUUUGGCAUCAUUCACCAUGGUGAAACUCAAACAUCCAACAGGAAAAAAAAAACAUUUUUUGAUUGGAGGGGUUCUAAGGAAAUGAAGUUCAAAUGUAAAUGUAUUUCAAUAAAAAAUAAAAUAAAAAUAAAAAACCA
This is a non-coding RNA of Pimephales promelas (fathead minnow), 656 nucleotides long. Lineage: Eukaryota; Metazoa; Chordata; Actinopteri; Cypriniformes; Leuciscidae. The record is from RefSeq and is a predicted model, not a curated record.